Molecule: long non-coding RNA, 1701 nt
Organism: Xiphophorus couchianus (Monterrey platyfish)
Lineage: Eukaryota; Metazoa; Chordata; Actinopteri; Cyprinodontiformes; Poeciliidae
Exons: 3
Source: RefSeq, a predicted model, not a curated record
UGUCAUGGUUUGAGUUUUUCUAUGUAUUAAUUUUGAGUUUCCUCUGUUUCUGAGUCUCCGUGUUGUCCUGUCUCCCCUUAAUUAGUUCCCAGGUGUGUCUCGUUCCCUGAUUACGCCUGUGUAUUUAGUGUCACCUGUGUCUCUGUGUCGGGUCCUUGUCGUGUGUCUAAGCAGUCGUGUGUUGUCGUUGGUCCUUCGUAUGUCCUCUUGCUACCAGUGUUGAGCCUCUGCCUUCCGCUCUGCUCUGCUGUGCUGCCAGGAUUUUGGACUGUUUUUGGAUUUGUUUGCACCUUGUUCUCAUCAUUAAAUCACCAUAAUCAUCUCAUCCUGGGUCUGCUGCGUCUGCCUCACCAUUCACACCACCGCACUUCAUGACAGAAAUCAGUGCAUGAGUAAGCUGGAGUGGGCUCUGGCGUUCCACACCGAUGACUUCAUGUAACAGGAGAAGAGAAAGAACGGGGAACAGGCAGGUCUGCUGGGCUCAAGUUUUGUCAACGGACAUCAAUCUCUCUUGUCUGUCAACCCUGUAACUUCCAACCCCUGACCCGAACCCCACCCUCUGAUGGCAUGGCUUACAAGGCCUCCUAGAUGGAGGAUUCCUUGUCGGAGGGGUCCAGCUGAGUGGCACUGGAGACAGUAAUCUGGCCUGAGAUGACACUCUGUCUCAAAAGGAUGGAUCUCAUAUUCCUCUGGUCUCAGUUUAAACCCAAAUUUAUGCAGCAUCUUUUUAGCAUUAUUUCCUUGACUCUCUGUUUUCUUCUCGCUGUUCUUCUCUUUUCCACCAUUUCCCAUAUUAUGCUGAUUUCAAUAGCAAAAUUUAGUGUCAAUUAGGUCAAUGUACAUUAACAAGUCAGCCUUGAAAUCUAACAAAUGAAGUUUGAAGGAUGAAACAUGAUGAAACAAUUGAGUAAUAUUCAUUCCACCUGAAAGGAACAAGUGAAUUUCCACUUCACCGCUCAGAAUACAAAAGUUUUGCAUGUACAUAAAAAAAUGGGUUUCUGCAGUCAAGUAGAUGCCAAAUUAAGUAAGGAUUGUUUGAAAUUAGCACAUGCAGUAGAUAUAAAUUAAAAUCAAAAUUUAGAUAUGACACAAUUUACAAUCAUCAGUCAUAGCGGCAAAAUGGCAAUUAAAUUUUCCAGCCUCAUGUAUAUAAAUUAUGCUGCUACAGGAUUUUCAAGUUGAAUUUCUAUAUACGUUUUUGCACAGUCCACUCUGAUUUGUCCUCACAAAAAAAAUAUAUCUUACAGCUAUGCUACGUAACUUUCAGAAAAAAAUAUUUUUUUUACAUAUCUGUUUUAUUAUAUAUUUUACAAUAACUGAUACAUGAACACUAGAGAGAGGAGUUACCAGCAGCAACCGCUCAACCAAUCAGGCAUAUUUGAGGUCACACGAAAGAUACAGUGAAUUAAACAAGCAGCAACACUUAGAAUUUUUAUAUAUUUUCCAAAUCACUUAGGGGUUUGUUGACUGAAUACUACAAACAUGUAUUCAUUCUGUAGAGUAAAUAAAAUAUGCUUACAUUCACGUUUUUACAAGUUAACUAUAUUUGAAAUUAUUGUGAAUUAUUUUUCAGCCUCCUAAGCUUCAGUAAUUGGAAAAAUCAAUACAUCCAUGUAAGGCAAACUUGUACAUAUUUUUUGGAUGACACCUAAGUGGAUGAGAAGUUUAUUUUGACUAAAUUUAAGGUCCUUCAGAAAUCUU